AUACGGAGGAUGCGAGCGUUAUCCGGAUUUAUUGGGUUUAAAGGGUGCGCAGGCGGCCAUUUAAGUCAGCGGUUAAAUCUUGGGGCUCAACCCCAUUCUGCCGUUGAUACUGGGUGGCUUGAUUGCGGUCGAGGUUGGCGGAAUUCGUUGUGUUGCGGUGAAAUGCAUAGAUAUGACGAAGAACACCGAUUGUGUAGGCAGCUGACCAGACCGCAAAUGACGCUCAUGCACGAAAGUGCGGGGAUCGAACAGGAUUAGAUACCCUGGUAGUCCGCACAGUAAACGAUGAAUACUUGUUUUCGGCGAUAUAAUGUCGGAGGCAAAGCGAAAGCGAUAAGUAUUCCACCUGGGGAGUACGCCGGCAACGGUGAAACUCAAAUGAAUUGACGGGG
Molecule: ribosomal RNA, 392 nt
Filed under: uncultured bacterium
Lineage: Bacteria
Description: partial 16S ribosomal RNA
Rfam family: Bacterial small subunit ribosomal RNA
Source: RNAcentral